RNAcentral lists this ribosomal RNA (404 nucleotides) under uncultured Nitrosomonas sp. Its description in RNAcentral is "bacterial SSU rRNA". It matches the Rfam family "Bacterial small subunit ribosomal RNA", at positions 194 to 594 of the family's 1533-position model. Lineage: Bacteria; Pseudomonadati; Pseudomonadota; Betaproteobacteria; Nitrosomonadales; Nitrosomonadaceae. The record is from RNAcentral.
GGGGAUCGUAAGACCUUGUGCUUUUGGAGCGGCCGAUGCCUGAUUAGCUAGUUGGUGGGGUAAAGGCCUACCAAGGCAACGAUCAGUAGUUGGUCUGAGAGGACGACCAGCCACACUGGGACUGAGACACGGCCCAGACUCCUACGGGAGGCAGCAGUGGGGAAUUUUGGACAAUGGGCGAAAGCCUGAUCCAGCAAUGCCGCGUGAGUGAAGAAGGCCUUCGGGUUGUAAAGCUCUUUCAGUCGAGAAGAAAAGGUUGUGACUAAUAAUCACAAUUUAUGACGGUAUCGACAGAAGAAGCACCGGCUAACUACGUGCCAGCAGCCGCGGUAAUACGUAGGGUGCAAGCGUUAAUCGGAAUUACUGGGCGUAAAGGGUGCGCAGGCGGCUCUGUAUGUCAGAUG